This is a long non-coding RNA of Chelonia mydas (Green sea turtle), 219 nucleotides long. RefSeq lists it as uncharacterized. NCBI's taxonomy places the organism in Eukaryota, Metazoa, Chordata, Testudines, Cheloniidae. The transcript has 3 exons. The record is from RefSeq and is a predicted model, not a curated record.
GGCACUGGUAGCCUUGCUCUGGUCAGCACCGCCGACCGGGCCAUUAAAAGUCCCAUUAGCAGUGCUGCCCAGCUAAGGCUGGCUAGUCCCUACCUGUUCUGACACUGCGCUGCACCCCGGAUGCGGCCAGCAGCUGGUCCAACUCCUAGGCAGGGGGUCAUGGGGCUCUGUGUGCUGCCCCCGCCCCGAGCACCGGCUCCACACUCCCAUUGGCUGGUU